UACGUAGGGUGCAAGCGUUGUCCGGAAUUAUUGGGCGUAAAGAGCUCGUAGGCGGUUUGUCGCGUCUGCUGUGAAAACCCGAGGCUCAACCUCGGGCCUGCAGUGGGUACGGGCAGACUAGAGUGCGGUAGGGGAGAUUGGAAUUCCUGGUGUAGCGGUGAAAUGCGCAGAUAUCAGGAGGAACACCGGUGGCGAAGGCGGAUCUCUGGGCCGUAACUGACGCUAAGGCGCGAAAGCGUGGGGAGCGAACAGG
RNAcentral lists this ribosomal RNA (253 nucleotides) under uncultured bacterium. Its description in RNAcentral is "partial 16S ribosomal RNA". It matches the Rfam family "Bacterial small subunit ribosomal RNA", at positions 524 to 776 of the family's 1533-position model. The record is from RNAcentral.